Molecule: ribosomal RNA, 440 nt
Filed under: uncultured bacterium
Lineage: Bacteria
Description: partial 16S ribosomal RNA
Rfam family: Bacterial small subunit ribosomal RNA
Source: RNAcentral
CCUACGGGUGGCAGCAGUGGGGGAUAUUGCACAAUGGGGGAAACCCUGAUGCAGCGACGCCGCGUGGGUGAAGAAGCGCCUCGGCGCGUAAAGCCCUGUCAGCAGGGAAGAAAAUGACGGUACCUGAAGAAGAAGCCCCGGCUAACUACGUGCCAGCCGCCGCGGUAAUACGUAGGGGGCAAGCGUUAUCCGGAUUUACUGGGUGUAAAGGGGGCGCAGACGGCGAUGCAAGCCAGGAGUGAAAGCCCGGGGCCCAACCCCGGGACGGCUCUUGGAACUGCGUGGCUAGAGUGCAGGAGGGGCAGGCGGAAUUCCUGGGGUAGCGGUGAAAUGCGUAGAGAUCAGGAGGAACACCGGUGGCGAAGGCGGCCUGCGGGACUGCAACUGACGUUGAGGCACGAAAGCGUGGGGAGCAAACAGGAUGAGAUACCCGAGUAGUC